This 465-nucleotide ribosomal RNA is filed under the name uncultured Clostridium sp. RNAcentral describes it as "bacterial SSU rRNA". It matches the Rfam family "Bacterial small subunit ribosomal RNA", at positions 58 to 523 of the family's 1533-position model. Lineage: Bacteria; Bacillati; Bacillota; Clostridia; Eubacteriales; Clostridiaceae. The record is from RNAcentral.
CAAGUCGAGCGAAGCGAUUUUAAGGAAGCCUUCGGGUGGCAUUAAAAUUGACUUAGCGGCGGACGGGUGAGUAACGCGUGGGUAACCUGCCUCAUACAGGGGGAUAACAGUUAGAAAUGACUGCUAAUACCGCAUAAGCGCACAGUGCUGCAUAGUACAGUGUGAAAAACUCCGGUGGUAUGAGAUGGACCCGCGUCUGAUUAGGUAGUUGGUGAGGUAACGGCCCACCAAGCCGACGAUCAGUAGCCGACCCGAGAGGGUGACCGGCCACAUUGGGACUGAGACACGGCCCAAACUCCUACGGGAGGCAGCAGUGGGGAAUAUUGGACAAUGGGGGAAAUUUUUUUUCAGCGACGCCGCGUGACUGAAGAAGUAUUUCGGUAUGUAAAGGUCUAUCAGCAGGGAAGAAAAUGACGGUACCUGACUAAGAAGCCCCGGCUAACUACGUGCCAGCAGCCGCGGUAA